ACGAAGCCGCGAGGUGGAGNAAACCCAAAAAAGACAGUCUCAGUUCGGAUUGAAGGCUGAAAUUCGCCUUCAUGAAGCCGGAAUUGCUAGUAAUGGCAGGUCAGCAUACUGCCGUGAAUACGUUCCCGGGCCUUGUACACACCGCCCGUCACACCAUGAGAGUUGGGGAUACCCGAAGCCUGUGAGCUAACUUUUAGAGGCAGCAGUCGAAGGUAGAAUCAAUGAUUGGGGUGAAGUCGUAACAAGGUAAC
Molecule: ribosomal RNA, 251 nt
Filed under: uncultured bacterium
Lineage: Bacteria
Description: partial 16S ribosomal RNA
Rfam family: Bacterial small subunit ribosomal RNA
Source: RNAcentral